GAUGAACGCUGGCGGCGUGCCUAAUACAUGCAAGUCGAGCGAACGGAUGAGAAGCUUGCUUCUCUGAUGUUAGCGGCGGACGGGUGAGUAACACGUGGAUAACCUACCUAUAAGACUGGGAUAACUUCGGGAAACCGGAGCUAAUACCGGAUAAUAUUUUGAACCGCAUGGUUCAAAAGUGAAAGACGGUCUUGCUGUCACUUAUAGAUGGAUCCGCGCUGCAUUAGCUAGUUGGUAAGGUAACGGCUUACCAAGGCAACGAUGCAUAGCCGACCUGAGAGGGUGAUCGGCCACACUGGAACUGAGACACGGUCCAGACUCCUACGGGAGGCAGCAGUAGGGAAUCUUCCGCAAUGGGCGAAAGCCUGACGGAGCAACGCCGCGUGAGUGAUGAAGGUCUUCGGAUCGUAAAACUCUGUUAUUAGGGAAGAACAUAUGUGUAAGUAACUGUGCACAUCUUGACGGUACCUAAUCAGAAAGCCACGGCUAACUACG
This 495-nucleotide ribosomal RNA is filed under the name uncultured bacterium. RNAcentral's name for it is "partial 16S ribosomal RNA". It matches the Rfam family "Bacterial small subunit ribosomal RNA", at positions 28 to 505 of the family's 1533-position model. The record is from RNAcentral.